Molecule: ribosomal RNA, 392 nt
Filed under: uncultured bacterium
Lineage: Bacteria
Description: bacterial SSU rRNA
Rfam family: Bacterial small subunit ribosomal RNA
Source: RNAcentral
GACGAACGCUGGCGGCGUGCUUAACACAUGCAAGUCGAGCGGUAAGGCCCUUUCGGGGGUACACGAGCGGCGAACGGGUGAGUAACACGUGGGUGACCUGCCCUCAGCUCUGGGAUAAGCCUGGGAAACCGGGUCUAAUACUGGAUAUGACUCCAUGACGCAUGUUGUGGGGUGGAAAGCCUUGUGCGGCUGAGGAUGGGCCCGCGGCCUAUCAGCUUGUUGGUGGGGUGANGGCCUACCAAGGCGACGACGGGUAGCCGGCCUGAGAGGGCGACCGGCCACACUGGGACUGAGACACGGCCCAGACUCCUACGGGAGGCAGCAGUGGGGGAAUCUUGCGCAAUGGGCGAAAGCCUGACGCAGCGACGCCGCGUGAGGGAUGACGGCCUGGU